UACGGAGGGGGUUAGCGUUGUUCGGAAUUACUGGGCGUAAAGCGCACGUAGGCGGAUUGAUCAGUUAGAGGUGAAAUCCCAGGGCUCAACCCUGGAACUGCCUUUAAUACUGUCAGUCUAGAGAUCGAGAGAGGUGAGUGGAAUUCCAAGUGUAGAGGUGAAAUUCGUAGAUAUUUGGAGGAACACCAGUGGCGAAGGCGGCUCACUGGCUCGAUACUGACGCUGAGGUGCGAAAGCGUGGGGAGCAAACAGGAUUAGAUACCCCCGUA
This 269-nucleotide ribosomal RNA is filed under the name uncultured prokaryote. RNAcentral's name for it is "partial 16S ribosomal RNA". It matches the Rfam family "Bacterial small subunit ribosomal RNA", at positions 524 to 792 of the family's 1533-position model. The record is from RNAcentral.